CUACACGGAGUUUGACUCCACCCACCCGCAUAGCCCUCCCCGAUGUCACGAAGUCGACGAUUCGACCCGAUAUCGUCAACUUCGUCCACUCCAAAAUCUCGAAGAAUAAGAGGCAACCCUAUGCUGUCUCUGAGCGUGCCGGCCACCAAACCUCAGCUGAGUCAUGGGGAAUAGAUAGAGUCGUCUCAACUCUCAUGUAUUCCUCGUGUUUCUGGCGGUGGUACCCACAGAGAGCUGCUAUCAAGGUUGUCAAGGAUGUGGGGUUUGAACUACCACCAUCUGGGCAAUAUGUAAUUGGAACAUAUGCCCACUACGGAGAACCAUAGGGAGGAAAGCAACGAGGGUUUUGCCAAGGUUGCAGAGUCUCUUGGUCAUACAGUCCUUCGGUGGCGAGUAGUGCCAAUUGAUAACACUAGAUUGGGAAAUUCUGCUUUGCAAACUGAAUCUUUUAUUGAGCAAGUCCGUGUAUUAGCUAAAAAAUAUUUAUAGAAGCUUCACUAUUUGGGUUAAUGCACGGGAUCUUCUGCCAUUCAACUUUCAAAGCUUCAAACAUUGGUUUCGUGGAGGCUUCAGUAUGUGGGAUUGUGAAGAUUAGUGUUUAAAUUCUAUGCUGAUUAGAUAUGCGUCAGGCUUGUGAAUCAUGCUAGAAUAUGUGCUCCUCAAGUCCAUUGUAGUUUCGAAUAGCCUAUUAUAUGGCAGUUGAGGGAGACCUUGCAUAUCUGUUGUACCUUGAUUUUCAAAUGUUUCAGCAGCAGAUGGUAAAGAUUCGUGCGGAUGGA
Molecule: long non-coding RNA, 779 nt
Organism: Tripterygium wilfordii
Lineage: Eukaryota; Viridiplantae; Streptophyta; Magnoliopsida; Celastrales; Celastraceae
Exons: 3
Source: RefSeq, a predicted model, not a curated record